GAUGAAGAACGUAGCGAAAUGCGAUAAGUAAUGUGAAUUGCAGAACUCAGUGAAUCAUCGAAUCUUUGAACGCACAUUGCGCCCCCUGGCAUUCCGGGGGGCAUGCCUGUCCGAGCGUCAUUUCUGCCCUCCAGCCCGGCUGGGUGUUGGGCGCUGUCCCCCCGGGGACACGCCCCAAAGGCAGUGGCGGCGCCGCGUCGGGUCCUCGAGCGUAUGGGGCUUUGUCACCCGCUCGGGACGGACUCGUCGGCGCUGGUCUUCCUCCAGGCGACCCUUCGGGGCUCGUCUUCCUUCGGUUGACCUCGGAUCAGGUAGGGUUACCCGCUGAACUUAAGCAUAUCAAUAAGCGGACGA
This 354-nucleotide unclassified non-coding RNA is filed under the name soil metagenome. RNAcentral's name for it is "partial contains 5.8S ribosomal RNA, internal transcribed spacer 2, and large subunit ribosomal RNA". The stretch from base 1 to 120 matches the Rfam family "5.8S ribosomal RNA", at positions 35 to 154 of the family's 154-position model. The record is from RNAcentral.